CCCUACGGGAGGCAGCAGUGGGGAAUAUUGGGCAAUGGGCGCAAGCCUGACCAGCAACGCCGCGUGAAGGAAGAAGGCCCUCGGGUUGUAAACUUCUCUUGUCAGGGGCGAAGCAAGUGACGGUACCUGACGAAUAAGCCACGGCUAACUACGUGCCAGCAGCCGCGGUAAUACGUAGGUGGCAAGCGUUAUCCGGAUUUACUGGGUGUAAAGGGCGUGUAGGCGGGGAAGCAAGUCAGAUGUGAAAUUCCAGGGCUCCACCCUGGAACUGCAUUUGAAACUGUUUUUCUUGAGUGAUGGAGAGG
This 305-nucleotide ribosomal RNA is filed under the name uncultured bacterium. Its description in RNAcentral is "bacterial SSU rRNA". It matches the Rfam family "Bacterial small subunit ribosomal RNA", at positions 337 to 657 of the family's 1533-position model. The record is from RNAcentral.